GCUAUGUGCUUGUCGUCCCAGGAGAGCCACCAUUCAGACUGUCAUAGCAAGCUCAGGCAAGCCUGAGCUUGGUUAAGGCAACACAAAGAGGAUCCUGUGACCACUCAUUUUAAGCUGGAGCUCUUUCUGGCAUUUCAAUAAAACGGUGUCAGUUCUGAGUCCCUGUCAAGGAGAGAGUGGAAUAAAACAGUAGGAUUGUGCCAUGUUGGCUCAAGUGAGAGUUUUGUAGAGGUGUGGAGGAUGGUGAGAAAAGGUCCAGGAUUAAUUGGGAAAGAAAGACAGAAAGGGUAUUGGGGGUAGCAUUACUCUGAAGGCUGAAGCGGAGGAGGCGACAGAAGACAGUGUGAGAGAGAUUCUGGUGAAGAUUCUCAAAGCCCAAAUUGAUACAGAAAAUUAAAACCUCAUCUUCUAUAACUACAUCUGAAGUGCAAAUCAACAAGAAGAGACCUAAAGACUUUAAAAUACCUUUUGGAAAAGCCCACAGCUCUGUCUCAUAUAUUUGACUCCUCAGGAAGAUGAUUUUCAGUGAAGAAAGAAGUUUGGGAAGGAAGGAAAACAAAAUUCAUUCUUGCCUUAACCCAGCUAAUGUUGUACAAAGAAAUUCAAAGGACUUUGCCAGGCACAAGAAAAGAACAGAAUACAAGAAUUCUGUCCACCAGAAGAGUGAAUUAAAGACUCGAGAGUGGAAAAUGCAGUGUUAUGCAGAUGAGGGCAGGUCUCUUCUACCAACAUGUGCCCUUACUGAGAAGGAGGUAAGGAAGCCUUCCUUUACUCUGCCAGAUAAAACAGCAGCAACCUCAUGCUCUGCAAAGAUUUUCCAGACUACAAACCAUUUUAGGAACUUGGUGAGUACUUUUACCAGCUCUGAAAACCAGCCCCUUGUAUUUCUCAAGAACACCCACCUCUCCGGCAACAGGAUGAGUCAGACAGCAUCCAGGAGCUUCAUUCCAGGAAUCUGGCCCACUCAGAAACCCAGAAAAGAAGCACAGAGAACUGACAUUUUCUUGAUAAAAGGGAAAGCACAGUGAGCAAACACUCUGGACAAAGUCUACCCUGAACAUUGAACAAAAGGCCCUAAAAUUGCCAUGGGCUUCUCGUCAACUGUUUGCCUUAAUGAACUAUACAGAUUAGUAAAAGAGACAUCUGCUCCCACUUUUCUAUUACUAAUAUCACAGCUUCCCUCAUUUAAACUGUGCAUCAGGUUUGUUUCUGAGUCAAUCCUUGUCACAACUAUGGGUUAAUUUCUGAUGUCCCAAGACAGGGCAUCCAUAUUUAUUUGUCUUAGUACCAACCAGAUAUUAAAUCCCAGGGCAAAAGCUGUAAAAACAGGAAUGGUAACAUCUUAACAUCUGUUGGAACUUCCCAAACUAAACAUGGUGAGCAAUUAUAUGGACAGCUGGCAGCUUCAGGUUCAGUCUUCCUCCAUCUGGUGGGACUGGAGGAGAGAAAACUGGAACAAUGCCAGGGUCAAGAUGCCCUAACGUAAGUGAGGAGCCUUCUACACCAAACCAACGUAAGCAUGACCUGAGGCUGACACAAGAGAAAGCUGAGCUGGUAAUUUGAGGAGAAAUGUGGGUAGUGACCACUGUCUUUCACUGGGGGACUGCCAUUUCAACUAUCCUAGUUCUCUUUGGAGUCUCUGGUGGGAAUUGAUGUCCACUGAUCAGGGCUGCAAGCAGCACAGAGCCCUUGGGGAUUUCUGUCAUGCCCAUUGCUGGAGGCAGUAUCUAGCUGAUAGUAUGCCUCCCACAAAAUAUGCUUCAGGGAAAAAAAAAAGUAUUCUGCCUCCUUCAGUCCUUUUGAGCAUGUCACUCCGUUGCUAUGUUCUCUGCACUGGGUGCCACCGAUUGCCAACACCAUUUCAACACUUCGUCUUCCCUCUGUAAAGACAGCUACCUGGCUCAGCUAAAUUAAGGACACCAGAUAAACAGAAUAAUCCUUGCGUGCAAGCUAAGAAAGCAAACGGAACAGGUGGGAAACUGCUUUCUUACUCCAAGGAAGCCAAGGGGAUUUCUGAGAUUUUCAUAUCCUGCACCAAGGAAACAGGACCUUUCAGGGAUUUUUGUGAAAAAUAAGGUACUUCUGCCCACUGCAGAGAAGCUACUAAUCCAUUGGCUCAGACACUUGCCAAGAGCUGUGGAGCAGCCAAAAUGAGUUAUCACUUUCCUUAAUUGAGAGCAGAAAGCUGAAAUCCCUUUCCCACGUAAUCACAGAGUAUCAGCUAUUCUAGGAGAAUUUGUGCUUGUUCUGUAUCCAUCAGUUCCCUUCCCUCCUCUCCAAAUUUCUAUCUGGGUAUGAGCAAUCCUUCCUGUCCAAAUCACUACAGUUUUUUUACAGAACAUGUAGGUGUAAAUAAUUAGCUUUUUCCAACAGCAGUUUCAGCAGGACAUGUCUCACUGGCCCUGGAGGUGCAGUAGCUCUUCUCCUUACCAUGGCUGCUGCUGAGCAGUUGUGUGUUGGUUUUACAUGUCUUAGUUUUUGGUGGGAAGUGAUUUUCUGUGAGAAGCUUCUGGAAGCUUCCUCCGUGCCUGGCAAAGCCAGUCCUUGGCUGGCUCUGAGAACAGACAUGCUGCUAAGCCAAUUAUAGAAUUUGGUAACGCCUCUGUAAUGACGUAUUUAAGAAGGAACUCAAAACCGUGUGCAGUUCUUCUGAGGGGUGGGGAGGCACGGCGGCCGGAGCCAUCCUGGCACUGCGAGUGUCCAUGUGGCCGGUGUGACUGUGUGGCCAGCGAGCCUUGCCUGUCGUGCCACCCUCAGCCAGGUGUGCUGCAGGCAGAAGGACAGGGGUGGCGGCAGCAGCUUCUCUCUUUCCUGCACGCUGCAUGGGGAGAGAUGUAGAAUGGUGCCAGUGCUGUGGCUGGCGGGGCCACAUGGCCUGUGGUAGAAACAUGGCAAGUGACUCCUCAGCAUGGAUCCAGAUGAGAACAACCUUUCAGCACUGUGAAACCCUACAAGGACUUUUCAAUUGACAGAACUUGAGAAUAGUACCUAUGGACGACAAUUUUCUUCCAAGCCAGAGAAUGGGAAGAGGUAAAGUCACAUGAGGAGAGCCAACAUGGCGGCACGGAGGUCAGUAAAGAAAGAGGGAGAAGAGGGAUCCAAGUGCCAAAGCUGAAAUUUUCUUCUGCAAACUGUGCUAAAAGACUAUAGUUAAAUAAGCUGUCCCCUUCGCAGCUCAUCAGAUCCCCAAAAGACAUGCAGAGGUCCAAAAGGAUGCCAAAAGGAGCUAUAAAAACCUGUACUCAGGUGGACAAGUAACUCACAGGCAAUAGUUUCAGGAAGCCUGUUUUGCCCAUGAGCCUGUUCAUGUUUGCAGAAGACUGGGUGGGGCUGCUGCUCAUGAGAAGAGAACCAAGCUGGAGAAGUUCAGAGAGAACUAUCUCCCAUAGGGGAACCUCACAGUACAACAGAAGAAAGACUUUUUCCCUAAACAAACAGAAGAAAAUUCAAAGUAAUGAACUGACUAAAACUCCUGUGUUUUGUCUUCCUGAGCUGUCAAUGGGAAAGAGGGAGGGGCUGGGAAAAAAAAGUGUUCUAGAAGUUUCUUUUAGUUCUUAUUACCCUCUUUUAAAUCUCUUAAUAAUGCAUUUUUCUUUAUACCUUUUAAAUAUGACCCUUGGUGUUUUUUUUCCUGAUCCUUAUCUCAACCCAUGAACCCUUUGGGCUUUUUCCCUUCCUCUGCUCAACUAUAGCAUGAAUGAACAGUUUUUGUAGAUGCCUGGUCUUUCAACCAUUUCAAACCAUGACAAGUUGUAACAUACUGCUGAAGGGAUUUUCCGAGAUGUCUUUCACUAGUGGCCAACUCAGAGCAAAACUCACUGUGAAAUCCUGGCCUGAACAUAGCCCAGUAUAGUUCCAUGUAUGUUUCUUUUCACCACAGCAAAUGACAGCGCAGGCAAAAUGAACUCCACCUCCAUCACUUGGAGGUUGCUUUGAGUAAGUCAGCGCUUUGCAGAGACUUCCACUUUUUUGAUUGUGCUCUCCCUCUCUCACCUCUCUGUUUCUGACAAACAAAAACUGUGAGGUGUCUGUAUGAGUUGGCAGGCUGCCUAGCUGCCCUUGUCAAAAUGGCUUGGUAAAUUUGACCUGAGUACUGAAUGUUUACACAAGGAUUGCUUCAACUUAAUGAGCUGCUUGAUACUCAGGGCAUAUAAUUUCUGUGCACUGAGAGCUUAAAUAAAGGGCCACAUUCUGAAUUUUGAAAACA
Zonotrichia albicollis (white-throated sparrow) is the source of this 4207-nucleotide long non-coding RNA. Lineage: Eukaryota; Metazoa; Chordata; Aves; Passeriformes; Passerellidae. The record is from Ensembl.